CACGUAGGCGGCCAUUUAAGUCGGAAGUGAAAGCCCCCGGCUCACCCGGGGAGGGUCUUUCGAUACUGGAUGGCUAGAGGACGGUAGGGGAUAGCGGAACUCCUGGUGGAGCGGUGAAAUGCGUAGAUAUCAGGAGGAACACCCGAGGCGAAGGCGGCUAUCUGGUCCGUUUCUGACGCUGAGGUGCGAAAGCCAGGGUAGCGAACG
This 207-nucleotide ribosomal RNA is filed under the name uncultured bacterium. RNAcentral's name for it is "partial 16S ribosomal RNA". It matches the Rfam family "Bacterial small subunit ribosomal RNA", at positions 568 to 774 of the family's 1533-position model. The record is from RNAcentral.